Long non-coding RNA from Pangasianodon hypophthalmus (striped catfish), 846 nucleotides. RefSeq lists it as uncharacterized. The transcript has 3 exons. The record is from RefSeq and is a predicted model, not a curated record. NCBI's taxonomy places the organism in Eukaryota, Metazoa, Chordata, Actinopteri, Siluriformes, Pangasiidae.
AAUGCAGCAGCUAGAGUUCUUACUAGAACCAGGAAGUAUGACCAUAUUAGCCCGGUUCUGUCAACACUGCACUGGCUCCCUAUUAAACAUCGUAUACAUUUUAAAAUCUUGCUAAUUACCUACACUCAAAAAAAGGAAUUUUGCUGGCUGUUGCAUUUACUUAAGUGCAACGUGUGUUUUGUACUACCUAAUUUAAUGUUAAAUUAAAUAAACAUGAAUAAAUCUCAUAAGAUUUGCUUGAAAUUCAACUGCUUAGCUUUCACUUGAUUCGAUUUUGUCAAAAUAACAAGAAACAAUCAAGUACCCACGCGCUUCCUGGAAAAUGAUUACCUUUAUCGCGAUAACACGUCCCGAGAUGAAGAUUUGAAAUAACGUAAAGAAAACACCUGAGGGAAGCCGUUGAUGAGCGCGCACAUGGAAAGGUCCAUCUUGCUAUUUGCACAGUAAACACAUUCAAAGGCGUUAUAGUGGGAUAGGUGGUAUGUGGAGUUGUAAGGGUUGCACAGAAACUGUAUCAAGUAGGUCCAAGCUUUUGCAUCACUACAAGUUAAAGCAUCCACAUUUUGGACGUAGUUCUCGCUUUCCAUGUACGUACCAUCACUGUCCAUGCACAUUUAAGACAUGGAAUGCACUUAUAGUCCAUCAAAGUAAAAUUCACUCAGCAGAGGACACCUCUAAACAGACAGCAAUAUUCAGCUGCCACCUUUGCGCUUGUGGUGAUUUAGCAUCAGAGAGGGAUUAUUUUGCUCAUAUAAAUGCACAUCUCAAAAGACAUGAGACUGUCAUCUGUAUGUUUUUAGGCUGUGACUUUAAAACAAACAUUUAUUGCACAUUUAAAUCACACAA